This 66-nucleotide non-coding RNA is filed under the name Acidocella sp. RNAcentral describes it as "Fluoride sequence". It matches the Rfam family "Fluoride riboswitch aptamer (crcB RNA motif)". RNAcentral also lists the same sequence under 1 other name. Lineage: Bacteria; Pseudomonadati; Pseudomonadota; Alphaproteobacteria; Acetobacterales; Acidocellaceae. The record is from RNAcentral.
CAGAGGCACGGGGAUGGAGUCCCCCCAAAACCGCUCCUUCGGGGAGCUGAUGACUCCUGCACGGAU